Molecule: unclassified non-coding RNA, 1542 nt
Filed under: Hevea brasiliensis (rubber tree)
Lineage: Eukaryota; Viridiplantae; Streptophyta; Magnoliopsida; Malpighiales; Euphorbiaceae
Source: RNAcentral
GGAAACUCCUUGGCCUUCUGUUGAUGCCGUUGCGCCUUACGUUGAUAAUGACCAUGUCUUCUGCUUGCUUUACCGUGAGAUGUGGUUCCGUCACUUGUAUGCUAGACUUUCUCCUACUCUUAGACAGCGGAUUGAUUCGUGGGACAAUUAUUGCAGCCUUUUCCAGGUGGUGCUGCAUGGUGUGGUUAACAUGCAAUUGCCAAACCAGUGGUUGUGGGACAUGGUAGAUGAGUUUGUAUACCAAUUCCAGGCAUUCUGUCAAUACCGUGCAAAGAUGAAGAGCAAAACUGCAGAAGAGAUCGCGUUGCUUAGGCAGUACGACCAGGCUUGGAAUGUCUACGGUGUUCUCAAUUUCUUACAAGCCCUUGUGGAGAAAUCUACAAUAAUCCAAAUCUUGGAGAGGGAAAAGGAAGGUCUUGAAGAGUUUACUGCUACUGAUGGGUAUGAUUACAGUGGUGGAAGUAAUGUCUUGAAGGUUUUGGGCUAUUUCAGCAUGAUAGGCUUGCUCAGAGUUCAUUGUCUGUUGGGUGAUUAUCAUACUGGCCUGAAGUGUUUACGUCCAAUUGACAUAACUCAACAGGGAGUUUACACCAGUGUUAUUGGGAGCCACAUAACCACAAUAUAUCACUAUGGUUUUGCUAAUCUUAUGUUGAGGAGGUAUGUAGAGGCUAUCCAUGAGUUUAACAAAAUCCUUCUGUAUAUUUAUAAGACAAAGCAGUAUCACCAGAAGUCACCCCAGUAUGAGCAGAUACUGAAGAAAAAUGAGCAGAUGUAUGCCCUGUUGGCUAUUGCUUUGUCAUUGUGCCCUCAAGUGAAACUUGUUGAAGAAACUGUGAAUUCUCAAUUAAGGGAGAAGUAUGGUGAGAAGAUGGCGAGGAUGCUGAGAUAUGAUGAGGAGGCAUCUGCACUCUAUGACGAGCUCUUCUCAUAUGCAUGUCCUAAGUUCAUUACUCCUUCUGCUCCAAGUUUUGAGGAGCCUCUCGUAAAUUACAACCAGGAUGCCUAUAGGCUACAAUUGAAGAUGUUUCUAUAUGAAGUGAAGCAGCAACAAUUAUUGGCUGGUGUUAGGUCCUAUUUGAAAGUGUAUUCAACAAUCUCCCUGGGGAAGCUUGCAAAUUACAUGGAUUUGGAUGAACCCAAUUUAAGAGCGGUUUUGAUGACAUACAAGCACAAAACACAUGCUGUCGAUUCUGAUGGCAAGAUAAUUUCCAAUGCCGAUGUGGACUUCUACAUAGAUGAAGAUAUGGUACGUGUUGUAGAAUCUAAGUCCGCGAAGAAGUAUGGUGAUUACUUUUUGCGUCAGAUUGUGAAGCUUGAAGGGAUCAUGACUGAUAUUGACAGGAUAAAGCUGGAGUAAGCCACCUUCCUAUGUUAUAGUAUCAGUAGCGUUUAACUUGCUUUGAGCUUCAUUUUUGUACUGAGGAAAAUGCAGAAAGUUGAAUGAGAGUAUGUUUCGGUUUUGAGAACACCAAGCUUUGUUGAUUAGUGACUAGAAACAAUUUUUUCUCUCGCUUUGUAAUCUAUUAAUACAAUACAAAGUUG